GACGAACGCUGGCGGCGUGCUUAACACAUGCAAGUCGAACGGAAAGGCCCUGCUUUUGUGGGGUGCUCGAGUGGCGAACGGGUGAGUAACACGUGAGUAACCUGCCCUUGACUUUGGGAUAACUUCAGGAAACUGGGGCUAAUACCGGAUAGGAGCUCCUGCUGCAUGGUGGGGGUUGGAAAGAUUCGGCGGUUGGGGAUGGACUCGCGGCUUAUCAGCUUGUUGGUGGGGUAGUGGCUUACCAAGGCUUUGACGGGUAGCCGGCCUGAGAGGGUGACCGGCCACAUUGGGACUGAGAGACGGCCCAGUCGCCUACGGGAGGCAGCAGUGGGGAAUAUUGCGCAAUGGGCGCAAGCCUGAUGCAGCAACGCCGCGUGCGUGAUAACGGCCUUCGGGUUAUAAACCGCUGUCGCCUGUGACGAAGCGUUAGUGACGGUAAUGAGUAAAAAAGCACCGGCUAACUACGUG
RNAcentral lists this ribosomal RNA (468 nucleotides) under uncultured bacterium. RNAcentral's name for it is "partial 16S ribosomal RNA". It matches the Rfam family "Bacterial small subunit ribosomal RNA", at positions 28 to 507 of the family's 1533-position model. The record is from RNAcentral.